This is a non-coding RNA of Paramisgurnus dabryanus, 1669 nucleotides long. The record is from RefSeq and is a predicted model, not a curated record. NCBI's taxonomy places the organism in Eukaryota, Metazoa, Chordata, Actinopteri, Cypriniformes, Cobitidae.
CGGUCAACUUACCCCAUACUCUAACCUGAAUGCAGGGAUCAUAAAACUUUAUCUUUUACCUUAAUUGUUAGAUGGGUGUUGAUACCAAACUUUUUUUUCUCGUCUACCCAGGAGAAAGUCAUGGGUUCUGCUGCUGAGUGUCUUUUAUUCUGCUUACCUGACUCAUGCAGAAUUCUGGCUUGAUGUUUGGUCCACCUGUUAGCUGGCUCUGGUGCUUGGUAGUCUUCUCAAACCUCUGAAUCAAGACCACCAUGAGAGGCCUUCUGAAGACCAUCAUUACGCUGCAGAUCCAGUGGUCUUUACUAUGAGAUAGAACUGAACUGGAGUCUGUGAACUAAUGCUGUGUUCGAGACAACUUGGAUGUUUGAUAUUAUUGACCUCAAACCCAUAAGAAGUCUGGAACAGUAAACAAAGUUGAGUAUCCGACCUCUCAACUUGGAACAGAUCCAUCAACACCGACCUCAACGAGAUGCGUCAUUUGACAUUGCAGACAAGGUGGUGGCUAGCCCUUCACAGCCUUACAUGAACCGCAAACAAACUUUAAACUAUUUUUACAGCACAUAAUAUUUAUGAACAUGAAUGUUAAAUUAUCCAGUAACCGUUUUCUGCCAUAAUUGGCACAAGAGCACAAACUUCUCCUGGCGUUAACAAAUGGUAAUGUUAAUGAAAGUUCAUUUUUGUCACAGUUGCAAAUUAACAACCACACAGAAUAUGAAGAAUAGCCAGAACUGUGGUAUUAAGCUAGCCCUAAAAUGUUGUGAGAAUCUUGAUGUAUUGGACACAGGUGUGUAGUAUCUGUUAUAUAUUGACGGUUGACAGGUUUGUUUGCAUGUAAUUGCAUUAUUAUUAAUUUGGGGUUGAUAGUCCAAUGUUGAUUUGAGAGAAAUAUUUUUUUCUUUUUCUUUUUAGAUCCUUUCUCUUUUUUUAUGCAGCACUUAAGGAUGAAGCACCCUGAUCUACUAAGAUGCACAGAUUCAACUCUGGCCCAGCAUCAUCCCCACACCUCAUCUGCCAUCAGUUUAAUUUAAUGUCUGUCAAUUGCAAAUGCUAUUUCAGUUAUAUUACAACUUAAUAUUAACUUUAAUUUAGACUAGUAUUGUGUAAAGCUGGGGUUUCCAAACUUUUCAUUUUAAAACCUAUUAGACAAGUAUAAUCUAUUCUAGACCCACUAAAAUAUUUUUAAAUAUACAUUUUUUUAAUGGGGUAAAACACAUUUGUUCUCUUUCAGUGGAGUCAUUUUAUUUUCAUAAUAUUUCAUAAUGUAAAGCAGUGGUUCUUAACGUUAUUCCUCGAGGCCCACUGCUCUGCACAUUUUGUAUGUCUCUUUUAUCUGACAGACUAAGUUCAGUUCAUGGAGAUCCCUUCUAAUGAGCUGAUGAUUUGAAUCAGGUGUGUUAAAUAAGAGAGACAUACAAAAUGUGCAGGGCAGUGGGCCUCGAGGAAUAACGUUGAGAACCACUGAAAAGUAAAUAUAAGUUUAUUUGCAAUACCAAAUAUUUUAUGGUAUAUUCUUUCAAAACCAUUGUCAUUGUUAAUUAUUAAUUGGCCAAACUGUUGUUGCAUCAUUAAGGUGUGCAACACACCUUAACCUACUGUGUGACCGACAAGUGGGUCCUCCUGACCCACAGUUUAAAAUCCCCUGGUGUACUGAAUGUUGUAUUGUAAUUAA